AUAAGCAUUCUUCAAUUGUUUCUCCAUCAUCUCACUCUUAUACACCUGGAGUUUAUCCUUCUCAAGACUUCCAUCCACCUCCAUCUUCCCAGGAUUAUCAUCAUCCACCUCCAUCUUCCCAAGAUUAUCAUCAUCCACCACCAUCCCAGGAUUAUCACCGUCCACCAUCUUCCCAAGAUUACCAUCCUCCACCACCUUCCCAAGAUUAUCAUUCUCCACCACCUUCCCAGGAGUACCAUCCUCCACCACCUUCCCAAGAUUAUCAACCUCCUCCACCUUCCCAAGAUUUCCAUCAUCCUCCACCUGCUAGAUCAGACAGUUCUUAUUCUGAGCCCUACAACCACCAGCAAUACUCACCAGAUCAGUCACAGAACUUAGGUCCUAAUUACCCUUCUCAUGAAACUCCCUCUUCUUACUCUCUUCCCCAUUUUCAAUCUUAUCCAAGUUUCUCAGAAAGCACCCUACCAUCGGUACCAGUAAACCAGACUUAUUAUCAAGGGCCUGAUGCUUCAUACUCUUCCCAGUCAGCUCCUCUAGCUUCAAACCAUUCAUUAAAUGCCCAAAACAGUCUCAGCAGCAGAAAUGGAUCUAUCUUGGAGCCCCAGUCAACAACUCAGACAUACCAGUAUGACAGCAAUUACCAGCCAGCACCUGAAAGAAUAGCCGAGGCACACAAAGCUGCAAGAUUUGCUGUUGGGGCACUGGCAUUCGAUGACGUCUCAAUUGCAGUAGACUACUUGAAGAAAUCACUCGAGUUGCUGACAAACCCAUCAGUUGGCCAGUAAGAAUUUAUUUAAAACUUGUAGUGGUAUACAUGGUGACUUGUUUUGUAAUAUAUUAUAUUCAUCGUGCAUAUAAGCGUGAAGAAACUCAGUAAACAUGGCUUGAAUGAAAAUCGUAAAAUCUUCCUGGAGUCUAUUUAUCUUUAAUAUGAAGUUACUGAAAUUGGUUUCUUUGUCAAGGGGUUAUGAGACAUGAGAUAUCUGAUUGAUGAAUCUCAGUUGUCCCGAGUCAAUUUUUGUGCGACUGUUCUCAAAUCUCAAUUUAGGUAUUUUCAUUCAUCUAUUGACACUUGCAAAAUCUGAAUCUCAGCUGUAAAAUUUCUUGGCACGACAUGAAACUUCUUGCUUAAGAAGUUCCAUGCAGAGACUACUUCAGUUUGGUCUGUGGCAUAAACUAGACCAAUUCCAUUUCCGUUUAUAACUAUAUUUUUCAUAGCUGUAUAGCCACAUAGCCAGGUAAAAAUAAAACUUCAAACGAUCUUUCAAAUGAGUCUUCUGAAUAAAUAUUUUCUAACAUUAAUUGAAAUUCGACUCAGUAUAUAAAUAUUGUCAUGAAUUAUUUUAUUAUCUAGAUUGACCGCGGUCAUUUGUUACUUAUGGAAGUUUUUUCCUUAGUAGUAUAACAUAACCAUAAUUACCUAUUUUGAUUUUCUUCACUUGUAAAUUGUAGUACUUACGGGUCCAUUUAUGACCAUUUAAAAAAAAAUUAAUGUUAAUUUUUGUAAAAAUGAAGAUUUGAAAACGCUCUUCACAUAAAAGAUUAGUUUAAAUAGUUUGUCCUAAUUUUUUUUAAAUAUUUAAUCUUUUUACUAAGAAUUUUAUUAAAUGAUAAUUAUUUUAUAAAAAAAGAGCUUAUAAUGAGAAUUUAUUGUGUUUUUUUAUUAAAUUUAUUUUUAAAAUUUAUUUUUUUAAAAAUAUAUAAUUUUUAUUAUGUAUAAAUCAAUGUUUUAUAAAUCGAGAUCGAACUUGUGAAACAAUCUAUUUAAGACUCAAUUGGUUUAACCGAUUAAACCUAUGGUCGAACAAUUUAUUAAAUAAAUAUAUAAGAAAAAAAUUAAAUUUUAUAAAUAUGUCACAAACAAUCAUAUAUUUAUGACAUGAUAAAAUAAAUAUUUCAAAAAUCUAUUAGAAACAUAAUACAUAAAUAUAUAAUACAGAAAUAUCAAUAGUAUCACAAUAUAAGUGUACACUUAAUUUCAUAUUCAUUUAAAAAUAACUUAAAUAAAUUAAAAAAUAUAAUAAAAUAAAAUAAAUUAAUUCAAAUCAAAAUUAAAAAAAUAAAAUAUAAUAAUUAAAAUAAAAUUCAAAUAAUUAAAAAUAUUGUACAGGAUAUUCUUUUUUAUGUUUAAUUCAUUUAAGAAGAAGCAGUAUCAUAAUGAUCCAACAAAGAUAGCAUAUUUAAUUGAACCAAAAUAAGUAAGUUUGAAUUAUGAUCAAUAACUUAUAAUUGACAUAGACAAAUAAUGUUGACUUGAACGAAAAUAAAUAUUAAGUCGGACAAUGUGAUUAUGUUUGAUAUAGACGACAUGAUGAUGAUGUAGUGUGGUUGAAAGAAAAAAUAUAAAAUAAUGAUAGAACUUAAAAGUUUGUAUGGUUAUAAAAAGAAAUAAUUUUUUUUUUGUGAGUAAGGAAUAUUUUAAGUUUUGAAAUUGAUAUAUUAAAUUUUUUCAAUUCUUUUUAAAAAAAAAAUAUCAAUUUGAUGAAUUUAUUUGGUUACAAAAUCGGUUCGGUUCUUUGAUUAAAACGGUUUCGAAUAAUUCAAUCUGAUUUGCCGGUUUUACUAUGAUUUUGAUUCAUUAACGAUUUUUAAAGGUUGCCCGAACUGAACUCAACUUCGAUUCUCAAUCUAAUUGGUUUAACCAACCGAUUCGAAUUUUAAAGCAUUGAUAUCCUAACAUUAAAUAUUUAGAUUAAUAAAUAUCAAAAUUACUUUUUUAUAAUAUAGUGUGAUAUAACUUUAAUUUUUUUUGGAAGGAACUUUUGCAAAAAAAUUUUUUUUCGAAAAUUCUUUCAGAAAAAGUUAAAGUUAUAUCAAGCACAAUUAUUAUAUAAUAAAAAUAAAAGUUUGAUAUUUAUUAAUUUAAACAUUUAGUGUUAUGAUACCAAUGUUUUAAAAACGGAACAAAUUGCCUAUUGGAUGAAGAAUUGAAGUUGAAUCCGGUCCGAUCUUUAAAAAUAACUAAUAGAUUAAAAUCGGAGUAAAAUUGAAAAAAUCAAAUUGAAAAAAUCAAAUUGAAUUGUUCGAAACCGUUUUAACCAAAGAAACAGAGCCGAUUAUGUAAAAUCGUCCGAUUCAAAUAAAUACAUAAUUUUUUUAUUUUUUUAUGUAAAUUCAGAAGAUAAUUCAUAAAAUAAAUAAAAAAUUGAUAUUGAGAUAUUAAAUUUUGUCAAAAAAUUAAAAGAAAUAUUAGUUUGAUGCAUUUAUUUGAAUCAGACGAUUUUACAAAAUCGACUCCGAUUCUUUGAUUAAAACGAUUUCAAACAAUUCAAUUCAGUUUUUUCGAUUUUAUUUCAAUUUUGACCAAUUCACAAUUAUUAACGAUUGACCGAACCAGAUUCAACUUUUAUUCUCGAUCCAAUCAAUUAAGCCAACUGAUUUGAUUUGAUUUUUAAAAUAUUGAUAUUUUAACAUUAAAUAUUUAAACUAAUAAAUAUCAUAAUUACUUUUUUAUUAUAUAAUAAUUGCAUAUUAGUUUUUUUAAAGGAUUUUUGCAAAAAUUAUUUUUUGCAAAUACAAAGUUAAGAUUACAUUUUAAAGAACUUUAUGACUAAUGGCCCCUACACUCCUUUUAAAAAAAAAAGGGCCAUAUUUAGGUGUAACCCACUACAAAUUCAGCUCAAAAUAAUUCAGAAAAUGUCAGAUUUUUUCUGUGAUUUUAAUUUUAACAUAUUUAUUCAUCCUUAUUUUUACUUUCAAAUCAUUUAGAUCAAUAACAAAUUAUUUACCCCACAUAAAUUAUUUGAUAUGUUAAAUUUUUUCAAUAACAAAAGAUUUUUGGAAAACUUCGUCAAUAUUAAAAUUUUUAGAAUUCUUACCAGAAAUAUUUUUAUGAAGUUUUUUGAUUUGUAUCUUCAAUAUCGUGAUGUCAAGUCAACAAUAAAUAAUUUAUGCAUGUCUGAAUGUUUUAUAUUAAAUUUAUUGAUAAAAUUUUUGAAAAAAUUAAUAUGAAGUGUUUUUGAUAAAAUUAAAACUGAAAACAUAAUUUGUAUGUUAAAAAACAUUUAUAUAUAAUUUUUUUUUGCGUGAACUUAAUCCAAAUAAAUUAAAAGUAAACAUAACAAAAUUAAAUUACAAAAACUAAAAUAUGUAGUAUGUAAUACAAAUUUUCAUUUCUUAAAUUUUUAUUUUCACUUCUUCAAUCAAUUUUUUAUAUAUUUUAAAUUGUUAAAAUAAAUUGUCUCAAACACCUUGAGUAAGAAAAUAAAUGGAUUUUUUUUUAAAAUAACCAUAAAUUUUAAAUUAAAUCUCUAAAUAAUUCUUUUUCCAAAAAAAUACAAAAAUAAUCCUAUUUUAUAACUGAUGCGUCAGUUGAACUGACACAUCCAAUACAACUUUAAAGAAAGCGUCAGUAUCCUUGGCGCAUGCUCCCAAUGGUGGGCAACCUAGGUGUCACAUGCAUUGCGCAUGGAUACACUACAUAGUGUAUGCGCCAGUGCAUGUGGCACAUGCACUUGGUCAAUUUAUUUAUUUAUUUUAAAUUUAAAUGUUAAUAUUAAAAAUAUUAUAUAUAUAUAUAUAUAUAUAUAAUUACACGGAAUUAACAAGAAAUUCAAUGAUCAACCCGAUUGAAACGCCCCCUGUUCCACAUCCAGAUGCGUUAGUUUGCCUUCGAGGUCGCCAACAAUUUUCCUGAGAUGUUUUGGGUCUUUGAGUGCUGACAUGAUCCAAUGGUGGUUGGUGUGAAGGUCCGGUGGAAGGUCCAACGAUAUUUGAUAGAUGUGUCAUCAUUUAUUCCCAAUAGCUGGAGGGGUUCUCGCCAACUGCGCUUCCAUAAUUGAGUUCGGUGCCCAUGUUCUCGUAGUUGGAUCGUUAUGGUUGAGUGAAUUGCGGACGAUAUGGUUUCCCGAAUUGGGACAUUGAAUCGGUUUGGAAACGAAUCAAUGGUUCCUGGGGUGUACUAUAGUCAAACAAUGGUUAGGAGUUGUGGCGAUGAGAUGUUUGGGUGGUCAUUGAUGGGGGGCUAUGAUGGCAUGAAUUGUAUGAAUCAUCUGAGCUAUAGACUGUUGUGGUGGCUGCGUAUGGUUGUUGGUGGGUAGGGUUUGAUUCUUGGUUUUGAGGUUGGGUGUGUGACAUAAAUGUGUUGCGAGGUUAAGUGUUUGGUUGUUGGGUGUAUAUGGUAGGUUGAUGGUGUGAGGUUGGUCGUUGGGUUUGAGUGGUUUGACAUUGUUCUUGGACGAGGACUUGUUGUUGGGUGUAUGAUGACGAAGCUAGUUGGCGUGGAUCAAUCAAAUACCUUGGCUCAGACACAAAUUGUGGCGUUGUAACCAACCUAAACCAUGCCAUAUGUUGUUGACUUGGUCUAGCAUUCUGUAUGAUUGGUUCGUUUAAGAUGUGUUGUCGUCGAUUCCUCCAAUGACGACACAUCUCUUUUGCGAAGUCUCUCCAGUCGGAAUAAUCCCAUUGGGCAUUGACUCUUUUUUGACGCCAAUCUCUAAACCACGUUGGAGGUUCAGGAAUUUGUUAUUGCAUGCCGAACUGCAGUUUUACCCGGUCACUCUGGUGCAUCUCCACAGUAGUGAACCAGAUAAUUGGUGUUUUUGCUGUCCAAACUACAUUAUCAUCAUGGUUAACCUGAUGAUCAAGACCCAAAUAUGGCCUUUAGAUAAAUUUUACAAGAAUACGACAUGAUUAGAUGAUAAAUAAUUUGAUAAUUAUUUUGAAAUCAAAAUAGAGUUGUGUAGGAGUAUUACAUCGUCUGGUCCAAUAUGAUUCAAUAGAUUGCGAUAGACUACUAUAGCGUGUUUCAGACACCUAUUGUAGUUCAUCCCUCUAACUAAUCACCUAGAUCAAAAACAUUUGAAAAAUAUUAUUUACAGUUACUUGUAAUAUAAAGUCUAAAUAAUUAGAUGGUAAAGUUUUAAACUUACUUUGUUGCAAACGAAAAUAUGAAUGACUUCUCGUUUACUGGGGCGAGUGAUGACAUUCUUGACCAACCCCAUGCUUGUAGCAAAUAUGCGCAUGAAUAAAACGUACAAGCAUUUUUUUUUGGCAUUUUUGCACACCGCACUAUAUAGAUGGGCCAAAACAGCUGAACCCCAACCAUAUGUGCUUACUGAAGGAGAAUAGCAAUCCAAAACGUAGCGGAAUUUAAAAUUUCUCCUUUAGUGAUCCUUACGAAUGGGCAUGAUCAGUGAUAUAAUCAUUACCUCUUGUGGCGAUUGCAACCUUUUAUGCAGAUCUAUGGAGCGAUAACGAACGUUGAACGAUGACAACGCCUCUACUCAGUCCACACGAACGGAUUCCUUCAAUCUCAGUGCUAACUGUUACGAAUGAAGGCUUUGAGUGAGAGAAAGAGAGAGAACGAAAUUGCAACUGCACAAAUGCUUCUACACAAGGGUUCUAUUUAUAGAACCACUUGUGUGGGCUACAAGCUAAAAAGCCCACUCAAGUGUAUGUGGCUCAUAUCUUAUAAUAUGCCAAAAUCACUUAAGCGCGUGGUACCUUACCAUAUUUCGUAUUCUACUUAAGUACACCGUACCUUACGAUGUUCUACAAUUCACUUAGGUGCACCGUACAUUACGGUAUUCCUUAGUUACUCUAUAUCUCAUCAAUCCGUCUUUUUGUGUGCGACCCUGUAGGUUUUCGCGACAUUGACAAUUGUAUUAAAUCACGUAUUUAACAUGAUAAACAGUGAGCGGUAUCUAGCAACACAUCAUUGCUACCCAAGACACGAAAAUGUCACGUGAUAUGACAAAUCCUUUUGUGAUAAUACUUAUGUGUAUAAUUACCCUUUUGUCCUUAUGUCUAUAUUGAACACAAGGCAUAAACCGUGUCAUCCUUGUCCAGUUCAAUAUUGGGCCCGUAGACAUUUAUCCUGUUACGCAGGAUGGGCAAAUUCCAUCUAGGUCACUCAUGUCCCUUAGCAUGCUUCGUGGAGUACCCAUCAACUGUCUUUAUNNNNNNNNNNNNNNNNNNNNNNNNNNNNNNNNNNNNNNNNNNNNNNNNNNNNNNNNNNNNNNNNNNNNNNNNNNNNNNNNNNNNNNNNNNNNNNNNNNNNNNNNNNNNNNNNNNNNNNNNNNNNNNNNNNNNNNNNNNNNNNNNNNNNNNNNNNNNNNNNNNNNNNNNNNNNNNNNNNNNNNNNNNNNNNNNNNNNNNNNNNNNNNNNNNNNNNNNNNNNNNNNNNNNNNNNNNNNNNNNNNNNNNNNNNNNNNNNNNNNNNNNNNNNNNNNNNNNNNNNNNNNNNNNNNNNNNNNNNNNNNNNNNNNNNNNNNNNNNNNNNNNNNNNNNNNNNNNNNNNNNNNNNNNNNNNNNNNNNNNNNNNNNNNNNNNNNNNNNNNNNNNNNNNNNNNNNNNNNNNNNNNNNNNNNNNNNNNNNNNNNNNNNNNNNNNNNNNNNNNNNNNNNNNNNNNNNNNNNNNNNNNNNNNNNNNNNNNNNNNNNNNNNNNNNNNNNNNNNNNNNNNNNNNNNNNNNNNNNNNNNNNNNNNNNNNNNNNNNNNNNNNNNNNNNNNNNNNNNNNNNNNNNNNNNNNNNNNNNNNNNNNNNNNNNNNNNNNNNNNNNNNNNNNNNNNNNNNNNNNNNNNNNNNNNNNNNNNNNNNNNNNNNNNNNNNNNNNNNNNNNNNNNNNNNNNNNNNNNNNNNNNNNNNNNNNNNNNNNNNNNNNNNNNNNNNNNNNNNNNNNNNNNNNNNNNNNNNNNNNNNNNNNNNNNNNNNNNNNNNNNNNNNNNNNNNNNNNNNNNNNNNNNNNNNNNNNNNNNNNNNNNNNNNNNNNNNNNNNNNNNNNNNNNNNNNNNNNNNNNNNNNNNNNNNNNNNNNNNNNNNNNNNNNNNNNNNNNNNNNNNNNNNNNNNNNNNNNNNNNNNNNNNNNNNNNNNNNNNNNNNNNNNNNNNNNNNNNNNNNNNNNNNNNNNNNNNNNNNNNNNNNNNNNNNNNNNNNNNNNNNNNNNNNNNNNNNNNNNNNNNNNNNNNNNNNNNNNNNNNNNNNNNNNNNNNNNNNNNNNNNNNNNNNNNNNNNNNNNNNNNNNNNNNNNNNNNNNNNNNNNNNNNNNNNNNNNNNNNNNNNNNNNNNNNNNNNNNNNNNNNNNNNNNNNNNNNNNNNNNNNNNNNNNNNNNNNNNNNNNNNNNNNNNNNNNNNNNNNNNNNNNNNNNNNNNNNNNNNNNNNNNNNNNNNNNNNNNNNNNNNNNNNNNNNNNNNNNNNNNNNNNNNNNNNNNNNNNNNNNNNNNNNNNNNNNNNNNNNNNNNNNNNNNNNNNNNNNNNNNNNNNNNNNNNNNNNNNNNNNNNNNNNNNNNNNNNNNNNNNNNNNNNNNNNNNNNNNNNNNNNNNNNNNNNNNNNNNNNNNNNNNNNNNNNNNNNNNNNNNNNNNNNNNNNNNNNNNNNNNNNNNNNNNNNNNNNNNNNNNNNNNNNNNNNNNNAAAAAGCCUUUUAUUAUUAAUAAAUAAUUCGAUACAAGUACCAAAAGUAUUGGCCUCUAGGGCUUACACCAACAAUCUCCCACUAGAACUAGAGCCAAUCAGGCAUACCCCUAAUGCCCAUAGAUCUAGUAUGGCCAUCAUGCUUCUGCUGCGCAAGAGGCUUUGUCAGUGGGUCAGCAAUAUUGUCAAGUGUAGGUACUCUGCAUAUUUUCACAUCUCCUCUAUCUAUUAUCUCUCGAAUGAGGUGAUAAUGCCUAAGUAUGUGUUUGGAUCGUUGGUGAGAUCUAGGUUCCUUAGAUUGUGCGAUAGCACCAUUAUUAUCACAAUAGAGACCAAUGAGAUCCACAAUGCUAGGAACUAUACCAAGUUCACUAAUGAACUUUUUGAUCCAAACAACUUCCUUUGCUGCACUUGAGACAACGAUAUACUCGGCCUCGGUUGUAGAAUCAUCAACUGUAUCUUGCUUUGAACUUUUCCAGCUCAUAGCACCACCGUUUAAGCAAAACACAUAACCAGAUUGCAAUCUAAAGUCAUCCUUAUCUGUCUGGAAGCUAGCAUUGGUGUAUCCAAUUAUAGCCAGCUCUUCCUGACCUCCAUAUAUUAAGAAUGAGUUCUUAGUCCUUCUCAAAUACUUAAGGAUAUUCUUGACAGCUACCCAAUGAGCAUCACCAAGAUCAGAUUGGUACCUACUCGUUGCACUUAAAGCAUAUGAGACAUCUGGUCGAGUACAUAACAUGACAUACAUGAUAGAUCCUAUUGCAGAUGCAUAUGGAAUCUUAUUCAUGCGAUCCCUUUCUUCCUUAGUUAAAGGGGAUUGUGUUUUUGAUAGACACAGGCCAUGUUGCAUAGGUAUGAAUCCUUUCUUGGAAUCAUGCAUAUUAAAGCGUCUCAACACUUUGUCUAUGUAUGUACUCUGACUUAGGCCAAGCAGUUUUUGUGAUCUAUCUCUAUAGAUUCUGAUUCCUAAUAUAUAGGCUGCUUCACCUAGGUCCUUCAUAGAAAAGCAUUUCCCCAACCAAGACUUUACUUGUUGUAGGGUAGGGAUAUCGUUUCCAAUGAGUAAUAUGUCAUCUACAUAUAAUACCAGGAAAACGAUCAUGCUCCCACUAACCUUCUUGUAGACACAAGGCUCAUCUUCGUUCUUGAUGAAUCCAUAUUGUUUUACUGUUUCAUCAAAACGAAGAUUCCAGCUUCUGGAAGCUUGCUUCAAUCCAUAGAUUGAUCUUUGUAACUUACAUAUCUUUUGGGCUUCUUCUGGUAUGUCAAAUCCUUCAGGCUGUGUCAUGUACACAUCCUCAAGAAGAUUCCCAUUAAGGAAAGCAGUUUUGACAUCCAUCUGCCAUAUUUCAUAAUCAUGAUAUGCAGCGAUAGCAAGUAAAAUCCGAACAGAUUUAAGCAUUGCAACUGGUGAAAAGGUUUCAUCAUAGUCAACCCCAUGAAUUUGUUUAUAUCCUUUUGCAACCAGUCUUGCCUUAUAGGUAUGUACCUUACCAUCCAUGUCAGUCUUCUUUUUGAAGACCCACUUGCAUCCUAUAGGGUUAACUCCUACAGGAGGCUCUACCAAGGUCCAAACUUGGUUUGUGUACAUGGAAUCCAUUUCAGAUUUCAUGGCUUCUAGCCACUUCUCAGACUCGGGACCAGUUAUGGCCUCUUGGUAGGUCACAGGCUCAUCUUGAUCCAUGAGUAAUACAUCACCUUGAUCAGUUAUGAGAUAUCCAUAUCUCUCAGGUAGGUGACGUAUCCUGCUUGACCUACGCUGGUCUUGUUCUACUUGAGCAGGUUGCUCUUCCACAACUACUUGUGUUUCCUGCUCUAAUUCCUCCAUAGGUGUAUCGAUGCUUUGUGAUUCUUGAAUUUCUUCAAGCUCUACUUUCCUCCCACUGAUUCCUUUGGAAAUAAAAUCCUUUUCUAGGAAAACUCCAGUUCGAGCGACAAACACUUUGCCCUCAGAAGGAUUGUAGAAGUAAUACCCUCUUGUUUCUUUAGGAUACCCCACAAAUAAGCAUUUGUCAGAUUUGGGCUCAAGCUUAGUUGAAAUUUGUCGUUUCACAUAAACUUCGCAACCCCAAAUCUUCAUGUAAGACAUAUGUGGUUUCUUACCACUCCAUAUCUCAUAUGGUGUCUUCUCAACCUUUUUGGAUGGAACACGGUUAAGUGUGUAAGCUGCUGUCAAUAGUGCAUGUCCCCAAAAGGAGUUUGGAAGAUCGGCGUGACUCAUCAUGGAUCGGACCAUGUCUAACAGGGUUCGAUUUCUUCUCUCAGAUACACCAUUCCAUUGGGGUGUUCCAGGAGGAGUAAGUUGGGAUAGGAUCCCACACUCUUUCAGAUGGUCAUCAAACUCUAGGCUUAAAUACUCACCACCUCGAUCUGAUCGAAGAGUUUUAAUAUUCUUACCUAGUUGGUUUUGUACUUCAUUCUUGAAUUCCUUGAACUUUUCAAAGGACUCUGAUUUGUGUUUCAUUAAAUACACAUAACCAUAUCUACUGAAAUCAUCAGUAAAUGUGAUGAAGUACUGAAAACCUCCUCUGGCUGGUAUGUUCAGUGGUCCACAUACAUCAGUAUGUAUGAGGGCCAAAAGAUCAUUAGCUCUUUCACCUUUUCCUGUGAAUGGAGACUUUGUCAUCUUUCCAAUUAAACAAGAUCUGCAUGUCUCAUAUGAUUCAUAAUCAAAAGAGUCCAAGAGUCCAUCUUUAUGGAGUUUGGAAAUGCGUUUCUCAUUUAUGUGGCCUAAUCGACAAUGCCAAAGGUAAGUUGGAUUUAACUCAUUAGGUUUCAUCCUUUUAGUAUUAAUGUUAUAAAUAGGCAUUUCAAGAUCAAGGACAUAUAGUCCAUUGUUCAUUUGUGCAGUAGCAUAGAAUAUAUCAUUCAAAUAAAUUGAGCAACAAUUGUUCUUUAUUAUAAAUGAAAAACCAAACUUGUCCAAACAAGAAACAGAAAUAAUAUUCCUGCUAAUUGCAGGUACAUAAUAACAGUUCUCUAAUUGAAUUAUUAAGCCACUAGGUAAAGUCAAUACAUAAGUUCCUACGACUAAAGCAACAAUCUUUGCUCCAUUGCCAACUCGUAGGUCAACUUCAUCUUUUUCCAAAUCUCUACUCCUUUUUAGCCCCUGCACAUUGGUACAAAUGUGAGAACCGCAUCCAGUAUCUAAUACCCAUGAUGCAUAAGUAAAUAAAUUAAUUUCAAUAACAAAAAUACCUGAAGUUGAAGUCUCUACUCCAUUCUUCUUAUCUUCUAGGUACUUUGGGCAGUUUCUUAUCCAGUGUCCGGUCUUACGGAAAUGGAAGCAUGUGCCUUCCUUUGCUAUGCCUCCACUAGGCUUCAAAGCAGCAACAUUGGGUUUGAGUUUGGCAACUUCCUUGCCUUUCCCUUUAUCACCCUGCUUGGUGGGUCUUUUGUUCUGUCUCUUUCCAUUUCCGAUCAUCAAAAUGAACUUCCCUUUUGACUUCAUAUUCUGCUCAACAGUUCUUAACAUGGCUAGCAGUUCAGGAAAAGAUUUGUCCAUAUCAUUCAUAUUGAAAUUUAGGAAAAAUUGACUGAAUCUAUCUAGCAACGAUUGCAAGAUCAAAUUAGUCGCAAGUUCCUUUCUGAGGGGAAAACCCAACCUCUCAAGGUUUUCCACAUACCUAAUCAUCUUGAGCACAUGGGGACCUACAGGGGCUCCCUCAGCUAACUUUCCUUGAAAAAGGGCUUUUGAAACUUCAAACCUUUCAUGCCUUGCUUGCUCUUGAUAGAGCAUCUUCAGGUGUUCGAUCAUAUCGAACGCUGCCAUGUUCUCAUGUUGCUUUUGCAACUCUGAGUUCAUGGUAGCUAGCAUGAGACAAGCAAUUUCAUUGGCAUCAUCGACAUGCUUCUUAUAAACAUCUCUUUCCGCCUUAGGUGCAGAACUAGGAGGUUCCUCUUCAGGAACAAGUUUCUCCAAGACAUACAACUUUCUAUCAUGUUUGAGGGUAAUCCUCAGAUUUCGGUGUCAAUCAAGAAAAUUUGUCCCAGACAAUUUUUCCUUGUCAAGGAUUGAUCGCAAAAUGUUGUUAGAGGUGUUUGUUGUAAUGGUAAUCUACAUGAAAAUAAUGAAAAUAUAAGUAUCAAUAACAUAUUUAAUUAGGCCUUUAAUUAAAUAUGCUCCCACUAUUUUACUCAAAACAAAUGACCCUCACCAUUUGAUUCGAAAAAUCCCUUUGGAAGAUUUUCUAGUGGGUCGAGAUCCACAUUUCACUCUGUUUUAAGUCCGCGUAGGCAAAUUACACAAAACUAGGUUAUUUAGGUAGGAACUCCUUCCAAUUGUAUCUAAUACAACUCUCGAAUAUUUUAGUUGGGUGAAUAACUCCUUAUUUCAAUCCAUCACAUGGAUCAUUCCCAACUCUUGCUUCUAAACAUAUAUAAUCUUAUUAUAAUUUGUUUAGUUAAGUUUUACCCAUUGUUUUAGCAAUUGGAUAUUACAAUUAUCCCAUCGCACCUUACUAAUAUAGAACAUGCACCUCGCGUAGGCGAAACCUACAUUAUCCGAUACUAGUCUUGAUGAGUGCUAAAACUUGGAAAGCAUAAACUUAAUAUUUAAUUAGAGGGAAUUUGCAAUUAUUCUGAUCUCACCGGCUUAUUUAUCAUAUAAAUCGUAUCUCACAUGCAUCAACAUACAUUCACAUACAUCAACAUACAUAAUUAAACAGUUAUGGCCCCUAGUGCAAUUGUUCUCCCAAAGCAAUGAGAGAACCUAAGCUAACCUAAUAACGAUCUAAGCUUCUCCAAGCAAGAUCUUCAAGGUUGUCCUCAUUUGAUAUUAAAUUCUUCUCUUUCUUCAUAACAUUACAUUACAUAAAAGAAACUUGUUUUACAUACGAGGGAGUGAGAUGAGAAAAGAAGUUACAUUAUGAGAGUAAAAGAGAGGCACGACACGCAUGUCGUAUUUUAAAAACCCAAAACAAAAUAAAGGAAAACUAAGGCCAUAACCGAUCACUGCAAGACAAUAAUAAUAAAUACAUUAUUAUUAUUAAUUUUAAUUCUUUUAAUUAAUUAAAACCAGAUUAAACUUCGGCGACCGAUCACACCACGCAGAGUUAGCUGGGGGUCCGUUACCCGGUUAGCGGGACGGGGUUUCCGCUGACCGAUCAACAAACGGUGGUUCCCCUGACCGAUCAGCGGACGGGGGUCAAGGGGGCAGUGCCCCUGGCCAAAUUUUUUAAUGGACAAUUCAUUUGAAAUCGACGUCGUUUUUCGCAUAAACACUUGAUACUUUAAAGCACAACUCUUGCGCAGUCACAACCCUAAUCACAUAACUCUUUGACAACACAACCCUUGUGCCGUCAUUAACCCUAAUGCACCAAUUUCAGACCUCCAAACACACCUCGAUUGUUAAUUCAGUAUGAUUGAUCAACACGUCAUUGCUUCACCAUACUAAUGUCGGAUCAAGAAGCAAACGACCUAACUAGCGAGUUUCCUUUUGUUGGUAAUUCACAAACUUAGAACGAAACAGAAACAAUAUAUCAUAUAUACCGUAUUUUGCAUCAGGAUUACUUAUAUCAUAUAUAUAACUUGAUCGAUCUCAAUUGUAUAACCUAUGGACGAUCGAGGUAUCACUGCUUCACCAUACUAAUGUCGGAUUCCGAAGCAUAGUCAAUAUCAAUCAUCCAAAUCGUACAUACAUGAUGCCAAAUUUAAUUACUCGUUUAUUCUUUGAUUCAUUAUGUCUUUUAAUCGUAUUAAUACAGAAAAUACAGAAAAUAAACAGCUCUCAUAUGCAUGGUUUCGUAACCAGGCUCUGAUACCACUGAAGGAGAAGAGCGAUCCAAAACACAGCGAAAUUUAAAAUUUCUCCUUUAGUGAUCCUUACGAAUGAGCAUGAUUAGUGAUAUAAUCGUUACCUCUUAUGGAGAUUGUAACCUUUGAUGCAGAUCUACGGAGCGAUCACGAACGUUGAACGAUGACAACGCCUCUACUCAGUCCACACGAAUGGAUUCCUUCAAUCUCAGUGUUAGCUGCUACGAAUGAAGGCGUUGAAUGAGAGAUAAAGAGAGAAACGAAAUUGCAACUGCACAGAUGCUUCUACACAAGGGUUCUAUUUAUAGAACCACUUGUGUGGGUUGCAAGCUAAAAAGCCCACUCAAGUGUAUGUGGCCCAUAUCUUAUAAUAUGCCAAAAUCAUUUAAGCGCGUGAUACCUUACCAUAUUUCGUAUUCUACUUAAGUACACCGUACCUUACGAUGUUCUACACUUCACUUUAGUGCACCGUACAUUACAGUAUUCCUUAGUUACUCUAUCUCUCAUCAAUCCGCCCUUUUGUGUGUGACACUGUAGGUUUUCGCGGCAUUGGCAAUUAUAUUAAAUCACAUAUUAAACAUAAUAAAUAGUGAGCGGUAUCUAGCAACACAUCACGGCUACCCAAGACACAAAAAUAUCAUGUGAUAUGACAAAUCCUUUUGUGAUAAUACUUAUGUGUACAAUUACCCUUUUGCCCUUAUGUCUAUAUUGAACACAAGACAUAAACCGUGUCAUCCUUGUCCAGUUCAAUAUUGGGCCCAUAGACAUUUAUCCUGUUACGCAGGAUGGGCAAAUUCCAUCUAGGUCACUCAUGUCCCUUAGCAUGCUUCGUGGAUUAACCAUCAACUGUCUUUAUUGUCAUCCAGUUACGAACAAUGUUUGAUCAACAAUAAGGCACUCGACUAUACAUCUAGGGUCCAUAGUGGUUUCAGGCCGAAGGGUGGUAUACACCAUUAUCACCAUGAGAAUAACUUAUGACACUUUACAUAGCAUUCUAUAUAGUACUCUCAUAGCGGAUCAAUCCAGUAUAAAUAUUACUCUGAAUAUUCAUACCUAUGUUUAAGACUUGAUAACUCCUUAUCCAUGAUCCAUGAGAUGUGAUCACCAGUCUAUAUACAUAAUAGUCUUAAUGCUUUAAUGUUAUCCCACUUCACAAUAAAGCUCGACUAUGGAUACUUUAAGAAUAAUGUCCUUAUGUUUAAUGUGAUCUCAUGAUUAAGUCACACUUGAUAUAUUAAACGGACUAUCUAUUCUAGGGACUUUAUUAGACAAACAUAAUAAAGAAAAAGCCUUUUAUUAUUAAUAAAUAAUUCGAUACAAGUACCAAAAGUAUUGGCCUCUAGGGCUUACACCAACACUUACCUUAUUUAUGCUUCGUAACAACGGUAAAUACAUAAUAUUUACCGUAUUACCAGUACUUUUGGGAAAUAAAAAAUUAUAAAAUAAAAUCAUAAUAUAACACCGAGCUUUAAUUAUUUUUUCAUACUCGGUAGAUUCUUCGGUCAAUGUUAUACUCGCAUAAUAUUGUUUGAUAUAUCUUAAAUUAAUACCUUGCCCCCUAGCUUGACCAGAUGUCUCUCCCGCAACUUGGUCAUCACACAAAGGGGCACCCAACAAUUCAUUGCAAAUAGAGUUAUCCUGGUUAACUCUACCAUUUACAACCUUACCAUCGAUAUGUAUACCCAACAAUAUGUAAACGUCAUCAACUGUUACAGUACACUCACCAAAAGGAAGGUGCAAUGUGUGAGUCUCGGGUCUCCAUCUCUCUAACAAAACAAGAAUAAAUUUUUAGUCAACCGAAUAUGAGACUAUGUUGAGGAGAUUACCAAAACCGCAUCCUCGAAUAUAUGAUUCUAUCAAAGGAUCGUAGGGUACAUAUUCAUGUACACGACAUCGAAAUCAUUUUGGGUCCUAGUAAAACAUAAGUAAGAAAUAAAAUAAGAAGAAGUGAUAUACAAUAAAACAUAAAUAAGAAAUAAAUAAGGAAUAAGUAAGAAGUAAUAACAUACAAAUGUCGAGAUAUUUUCGAUUGUUCCUCAAUGUUCAUCACCCAUAGUCAAUAGAGACAUAAUGCUGCAGAUGUUGAAUGUUACAGAGGUUGAGUAUGGUAAAGGUGGAGUGUUGCAGAGGUUGAUUGUUAGUGUUGCAGAGUGUUAUGAGUUGAUGCCCUAUUUAUAGAUGAGUAAGUGUUGCAGAGGUUAAAUAGGUACGUAUCAUGUGAAGCAUGGGAUAUGGGGCAUGCAUGUGACAUAGGUGUAGGCGCCUAAGGCUAGGAUCACAAUGAAGGCACGCCGAUGGGACAAUACAGAGUGGAACUAGAUAGAGGUUGGUGCAAUUGCGGAAAGUUCUAAGCCUUUCUUACGCCUUGCUCCCAUGUCAUUGCGGCAUAUUCAAAGGUUCGAAGGGAUCCAUCCUACUUACUAUCUGAUGUUUACAAAGUCAUAAGCCUAUCCAAUGUUUACAAAAUUCGUUUUUCAGUUGUUGCAAAAGAGGAUUACCGACUAGAAUAUCAAGGGGACAUUCUCUAGCACAAUGAAGUUAUGCGAAUAAAGAAAAAGGGUCGCCCAAGCAACACCCGUAUUCGAACCGAAAUGGAUAUGGCAAACAAAAUGGUUUGAUUAUGUAGUUCAUGUCGUCGGCCAGGUCACAAUCGUACUAACUGUCCUAGUGUUGGAACGAGCACAACAAGAUAAUUUUACAUGUACCUCUUUUGCAAUAUAUAAAAAACAAAAUUUAGUUCAUAUGAUAACUUUGUGAGGAAAUACCAUCACAAACAAAUACAACACAUUCAACACCCAAGCAACACAUAAACAACAACACAAACAACUACAACAAUUAAAAUACCAUUUCUAUAACUAAGCGAUUACAACCAUCAAGAUAAUUUUGAACAUAUUAUGCAUCAUCCUGCGAACGUCUUUGUCAGUCUUAAUAUCCACCAAUUCACGCACUUCUCCAUUUUGGUUGAACGUGGGGCUCAAGCCAUUGAAUCCUUCUAAUCCUUUCAUCAUCCGCAAUUUCUCCUUCUAAUCAACGGCUCAACGUCCGAUUAAGACGUUCAAACGAAUAUAUAUUCCAAAGUCGAAUCUUUAUCGGAGGUGUGACUGCUGAAAAAAUUAAAUCAACAUUUCUCUUGUGAAUGUAUUCAGACAUGGUUAAAGAACAAAAAAUUGAAGUAAAAUGAGGGAGAUUGAAGUAGAAUGAAAGAAAAUGGGGUUGGAUGGUAAGAAGUAGUGUGCAAAAAUAUGGGAGAUGCGGAUGUUAUUUAUAGAUGAACCAUGAAAUGCAUGCGCUAAAGCCCUAGGCCCACACACACAAGCACAUGCAUAUGCCAGAUGCAUGGACGCAUUUACUAAACCACACAUGCAUGCGCCAACUACCAUGGCGCCUACAUGCAUAGGGAGCAUGCGCUAAUGGAGCUGACGCCUCCUUUGAAAAUUUAUUGGAUGCGUCAGUUCAACUGAUGCAUCAGUUAAAGAAAUUGGUUAUUUUGAUAAUUAUUUUGAAAAACUGAUUAUUUUAGUAUUUAAAUUGAAAAAUAUGGUUAUUUUUAAAAAAAAUCAAAUAGUUGGACCUUUUCUACUUUUGCUUUUGGGCUAUAAUAGACUAAUGAGAUUACUAUCAUGAAAAACAAAAUAAAUAUUUAUAGAUUUCGAAAAUAUACUUUCUGACGAAUUUAAAAUAUAUAAUAAAUUUCACAUGUAAUUAUACAUGUGGUUCACUUACACAUAUAUUUGAUAUAUAUUUUGAAUGCGUUUGAAAAUACAUUUUCAAAAUUUUAAGAAUACUUUUUAAUUUUUAUAUGAUAUUUUUCCACCCUUAAAAUAAAAUUAAUAAUUUUUAUUCUUUUAUAAAGUAUUUUUCCACUCCUUAGAAUAAAAUUAAAAAUUUAUAAAUUUUUUUAAAAAUAUAAUAAAUAUUAGAUAUUUUUAUAACCUUUUAAUUGUUUGAUCUGCAAAAUUUAUUGCUGAGUUAUAGAAAAAAUUCUGCAACAAAUAUGUUACUUGCGUAUUUUAGAAUAAAUGUAUUUUUAGUGAAUUUUAAAAAAAUUAAUACUAUUUUUAAGAGAAAGAUAGUUGGGGUUGCUAAAUUUACCCUAUAUAUUUCUUCAAAAUCUUAUGAAAAUUCAAUAAUUUGCCUUGUUUAUUAAUUAACUUUCAAUCGCACCAUGAAAAUUUUCUCAACAAAUUAUACAAAAUUUGCUGAUAUUUAACAUUUCCUACCGUUAUGCAUGUGAUUUUUUCUACAGGAAACAAUAUUCAAAUGUUAACUUUAAGACAAACCUUUUUAGUCAUUUUUAUAGAAAUUAUAUAACUAAUGUGAAAAAUUAACUUUCGGACAAGAAUAAUAUUUUCGAAUAUCUAUCGAGUUUGAGAGAAAUCUAACGUCAAAUAAUUUUAUUUGAUUUAAUUAAAAAAACAUUUUUUUAUAUAAAAUUUUAAAGAGUUCUCUUAAUAUAAAACUUUAAAGAGCUCUCUUAUUGAUAUUUCAGUUAUAUAUUUGAGUAAAAUAAAUUACAAUAAAAUUAUUCGACCAUAUGCGAUGUGUCUCUGUCUUCCAUUCUUCAUUUCUUUUCUUGUCGGGGUGUUUAUUCCAAGUUCUAUAAAUUUGUUUAUGGCAUUAACUUUCCUAAAAUAAAAGAAAAAGAGUUUUAUUCUUAAAUAUGUUUUUAUAGAAAUGUUUAAUUAACAUUCAUAAUAUUCUCAAAAGUUAUCUCAUAAGAUUUAUCAAUAGGUUUUACACAUGAAUUUAUUUCCAUCUCCCUCGAAAAAAUUGUUCCAAAAAAUAUAUGUUAGUGUAAAAGUCUAUGAAAAUGCAUGUCUACACCAGACUUUAAGUCAAUGUGAAAAUAUGAAAAUGUAUUGUGAAAAUGUAUCAUGAAUAUUGAAUAUUAAAUUAUUCCAAAGACGUAUCUCCGAAUUAAAUUUUAAAAAAUAUAUUGAAUGUGAUUCAAUUUUAAUAUUUUGAUUGAAGACAAAUAUGCAAUCGAAGAUGUAUUAUCAAAAUUUAAGGGAUAAUUUUAAAUUUUCACAUGUAUUUUCACUAUAUAGAAUGAAAUAAAAAAUCCCUUAAAUAUAAUAUUGCCUUCAACUUGAAUAUUCGUAUCGUUCAUCGUGAUCACUAUUAUAGUUAAAUAAUAAAUAUACGAAUAUCCAAGUUUUUUUUACCAUCUAAAUAUUUUUCUAAUUAUUUUAAUUUUAUAAAAGUUUUUUGACAAUUUUGAAAAUGUCUUUGAAGUUUAAAAUAUGCUAUCUAUUUUUUAAUUGUUUGAAUUUUAAAAUUUUAAAAUUGUCAAUAUACACUAUGAUGAAAAAAAAUCAAAUUUAAUUGAAGUAUGUAAAAACUGUUAUGGAUAUAUAUGAAAUAUAUUGGAGUUUGAUUCGAAGGAAAUAUUCUCUUCGAUUGUUCAAAAUUAUAUGCACACAUUUUUAGAAUAUGUAAACAAUACUACUAUAUUGAAAUUGAUGAAGGAGAAAAUAAUAAAGACCUGGACUAACCAGAUAAUGCAUUGAAUGGACUUCACAUUCACUAAAAGAUAUAUCUCUUUUCAUAAAUUGGAAAGUUUUUUAGGUGCAUUAAAAUGAUAUUAUAAUUAUUUUGUGUAUAUAAAAAUUUGACUUUUUUCCUCUUCUUUUGUUACUAGUGAAUUUAAAGUUGUCCAGUCCAAACAUGUAUUUUACAAGUUCAGAGUGUAGAAUAUGAAAUAUAACGAAAGAGAUGUAACCUCGGCUUUCAAGACGACAAAACGAAAGACGUCAUGAACAAGAACAUCGACAAAAAUAACAUCAAUAACAACAACAAAAAUUUUAGGAUUUUGGAUCUCACCACCACCAUCACUACCACAACAACAAUAACAACAACAAUAACAACAAGAACAAUAUGACAACAAUAAUUGUAGUGAUGUUUGACGUAUCAAAUCUAUGAAGAAGAAGUAAAAGAAAAUGAUUUGGAUCUUUGAAGAAGAAAUGAGAACACUAAACACAUAAUAUCUUCGUAUUGAAGAUGAUAUGUGUUUAUGACUCUCGUUGCUUAGAGCUCUUCGUUAUGGUUUUGAUUGUGUUGUUUAGACAAAUGAAUAUGAAUACUACAAGCUAAAACUAUAUAUAUAUUAUAUAUAUAUAUAUAUAUAUAUAUAUCUCAGAGAAACAUAUUCAUCUCGGUUGGAAAGAAAAUCGAGGUGAAAAAAAAUAUACUUUUAAAUUAAAAAUAAAAUAUUCAAGAAUAUUCACCUCGGUUGAAAAGAAAACCAAGGUUAAAAAUAACGUACUUUUAAAUUAAAAAUAAAAUAUUCAAGAUGAAGAAGAUAAAAAUUAAGGUGAAAAAUAGCGUACUAUAUUUUAUCUAAUUAAGGUAAAACCGAGGUGAAAAGUACGCUACUUUUCACCUCAGUUUUCUUUCCAAGCAUAUUAUAUAAUGAGAUAAAAAUAUAAACUGAGAUUGAUGGGAUUUGAUGCAUGUACAUUUAAUAAAUUUAUCCCUCGAUUUUCCAAAUAACCGAUAUAGUAUAUUGUAAAUUUUUUUUAUAUAAAAAAAUAGGAUGCAUCAAGUAAUUAUAUCUCGAUUUUUCAAUACGUGAGAUGAAAUCGUCGUCAUAAAAUAUAUUAUUUAUAAUAGUGUUGCUAGCUAUAAUAUCAAGAUACAUAUAAAAGAAUAUUCUUGUCAAUUUGAUUUUCUAGAAAUAACUUCAACAUGUACACCUUCAAAUAAGGUUAAAAUGAAAGGUGUACAAAAUAUUAAUUGUUCUAGUCCGAAUGAUCAUACCACUAAGCGUUCACCUUCUUUAUUUGAGCAUGCCGACUCUUUUUAUCCAUAUACACAUGCUUCACAAUCGAAGUUAUCACACCUAAGACAAAAGAGUUUACAUCAUACUAAUUAGUCACCUAAUCUUUCUUUAGUGAGACAUAAUUCCCUAACCAAGAUGAAUUACUUUUGUCGAUGCUGUUUCUUGGCUACUUGGUCGGCCUUUUGAAUCCCGUUCCAUCAUUACAUAAAAGUUAAACAAUAUUUGUUAGGGUUACCUUAAGCUGUUUGGUUCAACAUGACGAUUUAAUAAGGUCAAACACACUAUAUAUUCCUUCAAGAGUCGACCAAACGUUUGAUGGUAACCAUAGUUAUAACUUCUGUUACAAAUAUAUUUGAAAAGUGACUAUUCAAUACCUCAUACAAGUCCAUUAUAGUAAAGACACCGUCAACUAAAAGCAUCAAACUAUUAGCUUAGCUAUCUUUUUAGAGUGAUUAGGUAUAACAAACUCAGUGAUUAUGAAGGUGAUGUCAAAGUUAAAGAUGAUAUUAAACCUAUAUAAUGUUAAAGACCUUGAGAAAAAUGAUGAUGAUGAUGCAAAAGUUGAAGACGAAGAUGAUACAAUAUAUAUAUAAUUUUUUUAUACCCAAAAGUUAAUUAAAAUCAAUAUGAAUAGAAAGUUCAAUUUACUCAUGUACACAUGAGACUUAUGUCAUCCAUUUUCACUUUAUAAAUUUUGGUGUACAAGAUGAAGAUGGAAGAAUAGAGAAUAACAAACUUUCACUACUCUGCUAAAACGGUUACAAUAAAAUGGUUGCACACGCUGCACAAUAAUACUCAAUGGAUACAAUUGUUGACAACUACAAUAUUAUAUAUACACAAAUAAUAAUGUCACGUAGAUGAAAUACUAAAAUACUGAAUUAUCCUUCAACACCAUCUCUUAAUUCAAGAUUUAACUAAUCAAAACUAAUAACACCAAUUCCAUCCCUCAAGUGGAGAAUGGUUAGUCUUGAUCACUUUCUUCAAGAUAUCUUCUCGAUGCUUCUGGGUGCUAUAAUGCAUAACUUCUAGCACUUAAUUCAGAAUCCGACUUCCCAGAAAAUGAUACUUAGUCUCAAUAUGCUUGCUUCUCCCAUGCAACACUGGGUUCUUGGCAAGAUUGAUUGCACACUUUUUAUCAAUCAUCGACUUUAGAGGCUUGUUUACCUUGAUCUUUAGAUCCUGUAGUAAAUUCAGAAGCCAAAUAGCUUGGCAUGCAACCACAACACCUCUAAUAUAUUCUGUUUCAUAGGUUGACAAAGCAACAAUUGGUUGCUUCUUGGAACACCAAGAAAUAGGACUUCCCAGAUACUUAAACAAAUAUCUAGAAGUAGUUAUUCUGUCAACUUUAUCUCCACACCAAUCAGAGCACGAGUAACACAUCAACUCUGAAUUAGUCUUUUCACCAGAGUGGAACAAAGCUCCAUAAUUAAGAGUUCCCUUUAUAUACCUAAGAACCCUGACAACAGCUCGGUAAUGAGACCACUUCGAUUUAUUCAUGAACCUACUAACCAUUCCAACUGCAUAGAAAAUGUCAGAUAUGGUAUUACACAAAUACCUUAGAGAGUCAACCAACUUCUUGAAAGUUGUGGCAUCUACAUCAUCACCUUCAGAAUCAGAAUCUAAUUUCUGAUUUGUUUGUGCAGGUGCGACAACAACCUUACAAUUCAACAACUCGAGUCACUUCAGAAGCUCAAGUUCAUAUUUCAGCUGAUGCAAAAUGAUACCCUUGUCAGAGUACAUAAACUCCAUCCCUAGGAAAUAUGCCAUCUUUCCUAGAUCAGUUAUCUCAAACUCAUUCAUCAACACCUUCUUGAACUUAUAUCUAUGUCAUAUUCACAACUCCCUGUUAGCAAUAUGUCAUCAACAUAGAGACAAUACCAAAAUCAUAUUGCCUUCAGAAAUAUGCUGAACAUAAAAGCCAUACUCCAUCUCACACUUUUUGAAUCCUUGGAGCUUGAAAAAAUGAAUUAGUUCUUAGAUUCCAAGCUCGAGGAGCUUGUUUAAGUCCAUACAAAGAUUUAUGGAACUUGUACACCAUCCUUUCCUGAUUCUUUUUCUCAAAUCCAAGAGGUUGUGACACGUAUACCUCUUAUUGCAAUGGACCAUUCAGAAAUGCAGAUUUCACAUCUAGAUGCAUUAGAGGCAAAUUCUUAUUAGCAGCUAUCGCAAUCACCAGUUUAAUUGUCUCAUGUCUUCCUACAUGAGCAAACACUUCAAAGUAAUCUAGCCAAGGUUUAUGUAGAAAUCCUUUUGCUACUAACCUUGCUUUGUAUUUGUCAAUUGAUCCAUCUGGCUUCAGUUUCUCCUUGAAAAUCCAUAUGAAGCUGAUGGCUUUCUAGUCCUUUGGAAGCUCAGUUAACUUUCAAAUCUUAUUUCUUUCUAUAGCCUCAAGUUCUUCUUUCAUGGCCUUCAGCCACACUUUCUUAUUGAGCACUUUUUCUGUACUCACUGGUUCAGAGUCUACUAACAUGGCACACUGAAUGACUUCUCCUUCAGAGUCUAAUUCAAUAUCUUGCACCAUGUUAAAUUAUGAAAAUCGUCUUGGCAUUUGUCUAAUUCUUUGUGGCCUCUGAACUUGUUCAGAAUCUUCUUCAGACGAUGGAACAAUAUCCUGGAACCCCAAAAGUACCACCUUCAGAGUCUAGUCCCAGAGUCUAGAUCUCCACCAGAGUCUGAAUCACCAUCAAAAUCUAGAUCAGAAUCAGAUUCACCUUCAGAGUCAGACUUGCCUUCAGAGUCAGAAUCACCUUCAGAAUCAUUUUAUGAUUCUGACUCAUCUUCAGAACCUUCAGAUUUUGAAUUAUCUUCAGAGGUUAACUAUACACCAGUUGGAUUGAGAUUUACUCCAAUCCCACACUUAUGAUUCCUUCACAAUGACAUAUGUGCUGAAUUUAACCUUGUUAGUGACAGGACAGUAAAACUUAUAAGCAAAUGUACUGUGGUACCCUACAAGCAACAUAACUUUACUUAUGUCAUCCAACUUCCUUCUCUUAGCAUCUGAAACAUGUUUGCAACAAACAUAACCAAACACCUUAAAAUGGAUCACACUUUUCUUAUCUCCAAUCCAUUUCUCCAAAGAAACAAUAAUCUUCAGCUUAUUAGUUGGACAUCUGUUGAGCACAUAUGUUGCAGUGGAAACAACUUCUCCCCAUAAGGUGUGAGGCAGCUUCUCCUCGUUCAAUAUGCUCCUUGUCAUAUGAAGCAACAUUCAGUUUCUUCUUUCAGCAAGACCAUUUUGUUGAGGAGUACAUGUAGCAGUCACCUCAUGCUCAAUUCCAUUCUCCUCACAUAACUUUCUGAACUCUGUAGAGUUAUACUCGCUUCCACCACCAGUUUUGAGAAUUUUCAGCUUCUGACCACUCUGAUUCUCUGCCUUGAUUCUGAAUUUCUUAAAUUCAGCAAACACUUCGUUUUUGAACUGUAUAAGGGUGACCCAUAUCAUUCUUGUGAAAUCAUCAACAAAUGACACAAAGUAUUUAUUCCCUCCAAGUGAAGGUACUGGAAAUGGUCCACACACAUUAGAAUGCAUCACACCCAGAUCAUGCUUUGCUCUUGAAGACAUUUAAGAUGCAAAUGGCAGUCUUACUUGCUUUCCUCUCAUGAACACAUUGCAUGACUUCUAUGGCUUCUUAAUUUCAGGAAUUCCAUGUACCGAAUUCUUUGAAUUCAUACGCCCUAAGCUUCUGAAGUUCAAAUGACCAAAUCUUUUGUGCAAUAACUCACUUUCCUUCAUAACACUUGUUGCACUAAGGCAUUCAGAUUCUGCAGUUUUAACAUUCACUUUGAAUGUUCUAUUCCUCCCCUGUCCUGACUUCAUAAUCAACUUAUGAUUACAAUCAUACAUCUUCGAAAUAUUUUCCUUCAUGAUAACUGAAAAACCUUUCUCAAUUAAUUGACCUACACUCAUCAAAUUGCUUUUCAUGCCAGAAACAUACCACACAUUCUGAAUCAAUGCUGAUAUACCAUUAUUCAGAACUACUCUGAUAUUUCCUAUACCUUCAACAUUGAGGUAUUUAUCAUCAUCACAUCUGAUCUUUGUCCUCUUACUAGAGUCAAAGUCAACCAACCAUUUCUUAUUUCCUGUAAGAUGAUUUGAUCAACCAGUGUCCAUAUACCACCAGUCUUCCAAAUACGCAUCAUCGAAUUCAGAAGCCAUCAAUAACAAAAAUUCAUCAUAAAAAUCUCUUUUGACUAUGUUUUCUUCUUCUGACUUCCUUUCCUUAUUUGACCAACAAUCAGCAACAAAGUGGUCAAACUUAUUACAACAAUAGCAUUGAACCUUCCUUUUUUCAUAAUUCUCCUUCCUCUUCUGAGCACUCUUCUACCUUUCAGAAGUUGAGGUUUCUAACUUCUGAACACCAUCAUAUCCCUUCAUGGCUUCAGACCAAGGCUACUUCUGAUAUUUCUUACCAGAAGCUGCUUUUAGAACCUGCUGCUCUACCUCCAUUUUAGAGUUUCUCUCAGUCAGACGUAACUCUCGUGCCUCUAGACUGCUUUGCAACUCUUCUAUUCUCAUGGUGCUAAGAUCCUUAUAAUAUUCAAUUGCUACCACAAUGUAAUCAAACUGAUAAGUAGGAGACCUAAGUACCUUCUCAAUGAUACUUUCUUCAGAGAGAGUUUCUCCAUAUUACUUCAUCUUAUUUGUGAUCAGAAUCAUUCUGGAGAUGUAGUAAAGUACCUUUUCAUUGUUCUUCAUGCUGAGAUUCUCAUACUGCUUACAUAGAGACUAAAGCUUUACCUUCUUCACUGAUGCAUCACCGCCGUAGCACUGUACUAGUGUGUCCCACGUAGCCUCCGUCAUCGUUGAAUCAACGAUUUUCUCAAACACGUUCACAUCCAUACACUAAUGGAUGUAGAACAACGCCUUAUAAUCCGUCUUCCUCAGAUCAUGCUGAGCAUUCCUAUGUGUAUUCGUUUCAUUUUCUGGAAGUGCAACCGGAACGUAACCGUCGUUGACGAGAUUAAGAACAUCUUAAGUGCCAAACAACCACACAUCAGAAUCAUCCAACGACUCCAUUUCUUGCCAUUGAACACUAGAAGCUUAGUGCUCAAAUUACAGUUUCUGUUCAUCUUCAAUCUUGUGCAAAUCACUCAGAUCUCACCAAACACUAGUGUUUCCAAUCCCGCAGAAUCAAGAAAUGUGAUUCUGUUAUGAAUCCAAUCACAAGUUCAACACGAACUCAAGAAGAGAAAUCAAUCACACAACGCCUUAUCGUUCACUCGUGUUUCCUUGUGUUUCCCUAUGGAUAUGAACCGAAACUCUAGAUACCAAUUGUUGAUGCACAAGAUGAAGAAGAUGAAGAUGGAAGAAGAGAGAAUAACAAACUUCCACUACUCUGCUAAAAUGGUUACAACAAAAUGGUUGCACACACACUGCACUACAAUACUCAGUGGAUACAACUGUUGACAUCUACAAUAAUAUAUAUAUAUAUAUAAUAAUGCCACAUAAACAAAAUACUAAAAUACUGAAUUACCCUUCAAUAAUAAAUAUGUUUAAUAUAUAACUUUUGUCUCGUAUGUUUAUCUCAUGAUUUAUUUUGGUCUUUUAACUUAAAAAAGUUCAUAUUGAUCAUUUAACUCUUAAAACGUACUAUGUUAAUCUUUUUUCAUCUAACUUGCGACAUUAACAAUCAAUUUUAGCGUUUUUUCGUUGCUAAUUGAUAAAAAAGACUAACAUAAUAAAUUUUAAAGAGUUAAAUGACCAAUAUAAAUAUAUUUUUAAUUAAAAGAUCAAAAUCAACUCCAAAAUUAACAUACGAGACCAAAAAAGUGUUAAACCUUAUAAAUAAAUAUUUAAUCCAAUAUAUACCUUCCUACAAAUCUAUACAAAGUUAAAUAAAAGUAUAUAUAAAAACAAUAUCAUUGUAAUUUUAUCUUAAUACAAAACUAUUUAUAACCACGUACAUUCAAUAAAAUAAUAUUAUAACCACCUACGUUUAAUCAAGUAAUUUUAUCGUAAUAUGUCUCAAAUUGUUUGUGACCAUCUGAAAAGACUUUCCAUUUGUUUGAUUUCUUUGGUGUCUGAUUGAUUAAUCUGAAAAAGUAAUUUAGACGAUAUAUAUACUAUUCAGGAUGUUUAUAACUGACUCAACAAAUUAAAAUUUGUUCACAAUACGACAAACAAUAACUCUUGGAAGUGGGUGUGGCUCAUACGAGAUCAAUGUUGUGACAUCAUGGUAUGGUCCAGACGAAUCUCUAUCCUAGAUGCAAUCAGGACACUGAGACGACUCUACACUGAUUGAGAGAUUGUGAAUUUGCUACUCGCUUUUGGAAAUCUAUUGACUUCUUGGACCCACUAUUCUUCCAAGUUGAGUAUUUUAUAUGAUUGGAUUAGACAUGUAUCCGAUGAUGGCUCUAUCUUUUUGUCUGCUUGCUGGUGGUUGUGGCACGCUAGGAACAAAUUGUAUCUUGCAAAUGAAGUUGUAUCUUCCUAUACUUUAAAACUCAUCAUAGUGAAUUAUGCUAAUCUUUUAGCUAAAUGUUUUCUCAAGCAUAAUAUGUCUCGUCCAACAAGAACAAUCACGUGGAGUGCACACACAGGUAGUAAUAUAAUUUUGAAUGUUGAUGGCAGUAGCUUCGGUAAUCCCGACGUCUCAGAAUUUGGUUGAUUGAUUCUAAAUAUUGAUGAUGUCUGAGUUCACGGUUUUGCGGAUAAUAUUUGGUUAUUCCAACAUCCUUCAUGCUGAUCUGAUUGGGUUACAUCAUAGUCUGUAUAUGGUCUUGGAACCUAGCAUAAAAAAGAACUGAUGUGUUAUUCUAACUCCAACUCUACUAUCAAACUUAUCUCAGAUUCUGUUAAUACUUGACUUCACUAUGUCGCAAUUCUUCACAACAUUAAGGUGUUCCUCUUUAGGGAAUGACGAGUUAAAAUACUUUAUACUUUUAAAAAGAUGAAUACGUAUGUCGACUAUCUAACAAAACAUGAAACUGAUAAUUAUGUGACAUACCCGUUUUUUUGCGAAAUCUCUAGUUGGAAUCAUCACUCUCCAACUAAGUGAUAUUAUUGAUAAUUUCACUUUUUUUUUUCUUUUUCUUUUUCCACUUGUACCCAAAAAAAAAUAUCAUAUCAUUUUUUAAAAUUAAUUUUUAGCAUUUCUAUUAAUUAACAUUAAUCUUAAAAAUUAAAAAUAUAUAUGAUUUUAGAAUGAUAUAUUUUUUUUCAAAUAGAUCCAUUAUUGCUAGAAUGGUGGAGUAUGUUAAAUAUCUACUAAACAAAAAUCAAAACAUAACGACAUUGCCGUCUUAGAUAAUCUUCCAUAGUUACUAUUAGUUGAGAUAUUUACAAUGACAUCAAAUGUAACAUUCUCAUUUCUUGGAAAAUCCGUCUGUAAAUGCCUCCUAUAUAAGACUACAGUUUGUAGUGUUAUAACUUCAUACCAUAAUGAGAAUUAAAUUUUCAUUUUGUUAUUGUGCGACUCAUUUUCCUCAUGAAAAAGUUAAUUCAAAACCAUGCAUUAUCAAAGAUAUGAAACAAGCUAGCUUACUAAGAAAGAACAAAAGCCAUAACAAGAAAAGAGAGUUCAAAUUAUUCACAUUAGAGGAGUGGCUUCUUAGUUCACCAAUUAUGCAAAAUGAUAGUAACUUUGUUGGUCAAAAUUUGGUUAGAAAAAAUGGUUAUUUUUCUGAUGAUGGAUUAUAUAGUUUGUCUUUGGAGCAACUCUUGGUUAUGGAUGGUGUUGAUGAUGAUUUUACUAUUUUGUCCUCAGAGUUUCACAGUUUCACUUCAAAAAAACUUUUGAAAAGUGAAACUAUUGAUGCAAAAGAAAUGAGGUUAUUAAAGUCAUUGAGUAGAAACCAAAGUAGUAAGGUGAAGAAAAGUGUUAGCUUUAGAUUACCAGAAGUUUCUGAGGUUAUCAUUUUGUAUCCAUCAUAGGUGAGUUUUGGUACAUUAAUCAGUUUCUUUCUUCUAAAUUUUGUAUACACUGAUUUUUGUACAAUUGAUUUGAUGAGGACAAAAAAGGACAAUGAGAUGUAGAAAUUGCAUAAAGUUUUAAGAGACUUAUUUUCAAUUACAAUUUUUUCGGUAGCAAUUAUAGAAAGUUCAUGAUAUUUUUCAGUUAUAUUUGAAGGUUAGUUAUACAAAUUUAUGGUUUUUGUGCCCGAGAAAUAUAAUCUAGAGUUUCUUCUUUAGAAGAAACUAAAGAUUUGUCGAGUAUUUCUUUUAAUAGAAUGUGUGAAUGAGAUAAAUAAUAAAAAGCAUUAUGGAGAUGUGAAAGUGUUUGCUACACGAAAAAUAUUUGUCAAAAAAUAAGGGGCAAAGGUUGCAAAUACUACGAUUUUUUAUUUAUUUAUUGUCAAACAUGUUUGUCGCAUCUUUGUACUUCUGGGAAAGUACCACCAACACCUUCUAACUUUUUCGUGGAAUGGUGACACCCAUUCUUUUCGACAUAGUAACCAUCAGGGGCCUUCGUCCAUCUGUCGAAAACUUUGAUCCCAAUGAAAGUGAUGAGGACACCAUAAAUUUCAACACAAAAUGUGCCAACUUUGACAAACACAUCAAAGACUAUUAUGUCAUUAAUACUGACAAAGUAUCUCAUGAAGAACAUAUCGCUUUCUUUGCUUUGUGGUUGUCAAGAUGUAUUUUUUGCUACAAAUCCUUGAAGGUAGCAAAAAGAUACUUGACCUUAGCUAACCAAUCACACGAAGGUCGUGAUAUUUGUCUUAGCCAAUCAGUUUUAGGAUCCCUCUAUGAAUCCUUAGGGUUAGCCACUAAAACCCUAAAAAACCUCAAACCCAACGACAAACUGCUGUUGGCUGGACCAUAUUGGUUGCUCCAGCUUUGAAUGAAUACCAGGUUUGAACUCUCCUUAAUGUCGAGAAACCCAACGGUACUGGCGAAACCGUUAAGAAUAGGCGUUUUUGACUUAUUUCCUGAUGUUCGCCAAACGCCACAACGUCACUCCCACAGUGGCUCCUUUCGUCAAUAGAACUCAUGGGCCUGAGUGGUUCACAUUGAAGUUUAUUGCUACUGGCGAACAAGAGGCUGAAUCGAAGAAGGUAUGGGAAAUCUUCCUUACUCCAAAGCUUCUUUCGACCAGACUUGGGACCUCCAAAGAAAAUGUGAAGAUAUUAUGCUAUCAACCCAAUUUGGUGUCACACCAAUUUGGAGUUAGUCAGACUGUGCCAAGAACUUUUUCAAUCGAAAAAGUGAACCCUGUCUUUGCACUAUCGACUACUCAGAGGAUGAACACCUUCAACGUCUUGUUCGCCAUGCUGCUGACCGUGUUGUACUCACACUGUUUUCUUUUCAACCAACAUUCUAUUGCACUAAAGAAUUCGACACUUGGUGGAGAGCCUACCAUGCAAAAGAAUUUCUUGAAGUUACAACCUUAUCUCAGUAUUUAACAUAUGUUUUUUCUUUUCUGUAGAAAAAUUUCAUAAAAGGUAGAGACAAACACAUCGAAGAGAUCUAGGCUUUCCAAAAAUAUUUUGAAACUGCGUAUGACCCCAAUGACCUUAGUCCGACGAUCCGUGAAGCAGCCGUUACUCUUAAAUAAAAAUUGAUGGCGAAACUUCCCAACUUGAAAAUCCCUAAUUAUGUGAAGGAUAAGUACAUAUUUGCACUGAACUAUUAUUCUCUUAAGUUUCCUCCUUUUCCCACCAAUGGGAUGGCUUUGGCUUUUGCCUCUCCAUUUCCACGGUGGUUCAUUUGUGGGGAAGACAUAAAGCUGAUCAAGAACAAAAUCCGGAAAAAUGUUAAAUGAGUGACUCUGACUAAACAUGUCAUAUAUAGUUUCAAGGGACACCUUCAUGUCGACAUAAAUCAUGUCUGGAUUGAAACACCUAUACACGAAGGUGAAUAAGGUGAAUGAUCUCUCCACUUAACUCCUUAUUUAUCUCUUCCUUAUUUACUGUUAUCUUUCUAUGCUUUCAGCGGUCGAACACAUGAAAAGAACAAGAUAUGUUGUUAAUGCUUCUAUAGCUUUGAAGAAACCCAAAGUCAAAGAAACUCCAAUAAAAGACACAUAUGUUAGUUAUAAUAUCUGAAACUAAAUUUUGGAUUUGUUCGCCAUACUAAUCUUACUUGACCUUUAUACAAAUUUUUGUAAUUGUCCAGGUUUUCUAAUCUCCCUGCUAACCAUGAAAAGAGAUGACCCGCACCAUAAGUAAUAUGGGAAAUAAACCCGAAUAAUCACCGAAUGAUAUCCGCCUUGAAAAUCCAUUGAUUACAUCCAUUAUUACCGAACCUUUGGCCCACUUCCGAAUUAUGCAAAAUGUGAUGAAUGAAAUGCUAAAACGAAUGAUCUAAUAGACAAAUGUAUGCAAAUGAAUAAAACCAUAAACCAGGCGAAUUGAAUGAGGAAGUAAGGCAAAUUUUGGGGUAUGACAACUGCCCCUAUUUAAUCUUCUUAAACCCGAAGGUAUGAAUAACAACUUCUUUCAAGCAUUCGAGGUAGAAGAAGAUUAAAUACAAAGACCCAACUUUUUUUCCCUUUGAGGGUGGAGUGAUGUAAUGUAAGGAAGAUAAGUGUAUUGUUAGGAAUUUGUUUGUUGGGGAUACAGAAUGGUCAAUAUGCUUCUGUAGGUUUAUUUAUUAAGGAUUGACCGAACUACUAUGUUGGGGAAAUAAACCAGUUGAAAAAAUAAAUUUUUGAUAUGCAUGAUAUAUGCAAUGUAUGAUUGGUUUACAUGAUGCAUGAAGUUUAUGUAUGCUAUGCAACAAUGUGGGUUAUUAAGUGGAAGGAGUGGCUGGUAUUGACUGAGGUAAACUCUGGUUCCAAUUUGGUGUGGUGGUGAACUUUAAUCCUCUGACAUUCAAUAACUGAAUCAAGGAACUUGCAAGUUGAUUAAGAGAGUUUCAGGAUACCCCUGCCGUUGGAGGUUUCAAAUUGAUCCUUUCUGAAAGGGAUGUCAAAUAAAAAGAAGAUUGUCAUCAACUCGUUGAUUGGAAACGACACAAUUGUCGGAAUUAAAUCAUCAACAUGGAGGUUAGAAACAAAUCAUUAACGCUGAGGUUAGAAAAAGAUCGAGAACCCGAAGGUUGGAAAAAUGUCAACAACCAUGGAGGUUGGAAAAAGUUCAGCAACCUAAAGGUUUGAAAAGGGUCAAAAACCAUCGAAGUUAGACAGAUCGACAACCUGAAGGUUGGAAAAAGGUCAACAACCACGGUGAUUGGAGAAAUACCGAUAACUCGAAAGUUGGAAAGAGGUCAACAACCAUGGAGGUUGAAAAAAUAUCGACAAUCCGAAAGUUGAAAAAGGUCACAAACCAUGGAGGUUGGAAAAAGAUCGACAACUUGAAUGUUGGAAAAAGGUAAAAAAAAUCAUGGAGGUUGUAAAGAUCGACAACACGAAGGUUGGAAAAAGGUCAAAAACCAUGGAGGUUGGAAAAGAUCGAUAACCCGAAGGUUGGAAACAGAUCAACAAUCGGUAAUUAAAAAAAGAUCGACAACCCGAAGUUUGGAAAAAGAUCAACAACCAUGAAGGUUGAAAAGAUCGACAACCCGAAGGUUGGGAAAAGGUCAACAACCAUGGAGGUUGGAAAGAGGUUGACAACCCGAAGGUUAGAAAAAGGUCAACAACCAUGGAGGUUGGAAAAAGAUCGACGGCCCGAAAGAUUGGAAAGAGAUCAUCAACCAUGAAGGUUGGAAAUAAAGGCCAAAAACAUGAAGUUGAAAAUGAAUGACAAUAUUAUAGUGGUGAGACAACAAAAGAGAUAAUUGUCUACACAUUUUAACUGGGGAGUAUCCUGAACAAGGAUUCACUAGAGACGAACCUGCCAAGGAAAAGCUUCAAAUAGAAAACCCUCAGGGGAUGUGUUAUUUGGCAAAUUUCGAUCACGCCAAAGGGAGCAAUCAGAACAACAGAGAUGCAGUCGAAAGUGAUUCAACGGUCAGGUAGAACCUAAGCCAAGUCGAAGUGAAGUCGAUAGUGGGGGUUAUCUUAUCGAAGUCGAAGUGAAACGUGCCAUGAUGGAUACAAAUUGUUGGAAGCAGAACGUGAGAAGUUACUAGAGAUGUGGGUUGACAGGCCCCGACACGUGGCGUAUCAUGAAUGGAUCAUAACCUUCUAGCAGUUAUUUUUUAUUACUAUUUAAGUAUAUGUUAUUUUCAUUUCUGAAGGUGAUAUUUGUAACAUUGCAAUAGGAAAACACUUGAAGUAUCAAGCGUCCAAGAGAAAAGAGUUAACUUCCUAGAAAAUAUACACCUACUUCCACAUUUAUUUUCAAACCAUUUAACUUAUCAUGUUAUUUCAUUUGUUUUGCUCAUUUACAUCUUUAUCUUGCUUUUACCCUUUUUACUUUUACUGCACCUUUCAUUGCAAACAUUUACUUAUUGUUCUAUUGUUCCAAACACUUUAACAUCAAACGCACCAUAUACUCAACACAUAUUAGUCGUGGACUUUGUAGCCAGUCCUGCAAGUAAACCUCGAUAGGAAGGCUAGCGAUUAUUACAAACAAAUUGACACACUAGGUGGGACACAUUGUGUUCAGUAUAUGCAACUACAUAGUUGCAAAAUGGUGUCACCAUGUCCAAACGAAGAAACAUCUUCGGGAGGAGACACAAUUGCAUUGCAAGUGACCGAUAUUAGUUCCGACACUAUACUUGCGGUUUCGAUUGCAUAUAGUGGACUAAUUUUAAAACCACGUCAGCAUGAAACUCCAAGGCCUUCGAUGACGGGAACUUCAGGGAAAUACAUGCCCUGUUUUAUAGUCCCCAUGUAUAGAACAUUGGGAAUGCCAACUAAUUUUAUGGCAAGUAUGCAUAAUACUAGUUUGAAAUUUGGCGAAACACCAUCGCCGUCAUUCCCACUCUACCAGGAGUUAUGACCUUUGGAAAACCAAUUUUGUCGACCCCCAGGUCUAGGAUUGUCAUUUCAGUCGAUCCCAACUUUCACAUCAAGUUCUGCCGCAGUCAUGAGACAUCAAAUGAAUGAAAGCAAUCAAGAAAUGGUCCACACGCUGACUUAGUAAAUGGGUACUAUACUGAGACCUUUAAUUCAGGAUUCGACUCAGAGUUACCAACAACUGGAAACUCAGAUGACUCGAAUAGGGAAUUUCCUAGGGGUUCAUAGAGCGCAAGUUCGUCAGACUCCCACACCUCCACCUCGACCGGAAACCCCGGUCCGACAUGAGGAGAUGGCAUACAAAACGAUCAAACAAGAAUACCAGAAAGUAUAACCAAUACCUAGGGUGGACCUAAGGCCUCCUGUUGUAUUAUUUAAUACGAAACAGGAUCCCAACCAUGUAUAAGUAGAUUCAACAAGAGGCAAUGGCUAGGGAGAAAAACUUAGAAGCUAUUGUCGAACAAAUCAUAGUUCGAAACGGGAUAAACUCGGGCCUACAGAAGCCGACAUAUUCUUCUCCCUUACCAGAUUUUGUUUUACAAACAUAAUUACAUAGGAGGUGGAAGGUUCCAAAAUUCACCAAGUUCGUCGGAGACACCGAAGAGUCUACCGUCUAACAUGUUGCCAGAUAUCAAACUGAAGUUGGAGACAUAGCAAAUAAUAAGGAUUUGAAGUUGAAAUACUUUCCAAGUUCUCUUUUAAAAAAUGAGUUCACGUGGCUCACAAUGCUACCUCCAUAAUUCGUCCAAACAUGGACGCAAUUAGAGAGGUUGUUCCAUGAACAGUUUUACAUGGGACAGUAAAAAAUAAGUCUAAAAGAACUAGCCAGCAUCAAGUGAAAGACUGCUGAGUCAAUCGAUCAGUACCCCAACAAGUUUAGACUUUUGAAGGCUAGAUGCUUUACUAAAGUCCAUGAGCAUGAAUUAGUCGAAAUAGAUGCAGGUGGUUUAGAUUAUUCUAUCAGAAAGAAGUUAGAUGCACAGUAUUGGAGGGAUAUGGCACAAUUAGAUGAUAGGGUUCGACACAUCGAAUACUUGAAAGCCGAAAAUACCAAAACUGGUCGAUACCAUAAGAAAGAGAAAGUGUUUUAUAUAGCAGUUGAUAAAUACUCUUCUGAUGAUGAAGAGUUUGUCAACGAAAGCGAGGUCAACGUGGUUGAACUCAAGCAUGAACCUCCUUACACAUGUAAAGUUUUAAAACCAUAAAACGGGAAAAGUACUGUCGAAGUAGAAAAAAAUGGACAAAUACGUUGCUAAAACUUACACGUUUGAUGUGUCUAAGUGUGACGAGAUCUUUGAUUUGUUAGUUAAAGAUGGUUAAAUUAUUGUUCCUCAGGGUUUAAAGGAUCCCCUUUUAGAACAGAAAAAGAAAAAGGGAUUUUGUAAGUUUCAUAACUUUCUUGGUCAUAAAACUUACCAAUGUGUUAUUUUCAAGGAUUUUGGUGCAAAAGGCUUUGAAAGAAGGCAAGCUUCAAUUUGGAGAAAGGCCAAAGAUGCAAGUGGACUCUGACCUUCUUAAGGUUGAAGAAGCCUUGUACUCUGAACCCUUUGAAUGAAUUAUGGUGGAGGCUAUUGAUGGUCUCAUGGAGUCUCUGGAUGCUGAGUCUUUAGCUGAAUCCUUUGAGGUAUUGAUGGUUGAAACUGCUUAUGGUUUCGACAAGAGAACUGAAGAUGAACUGGAAGUGGUUUACCUUCAAGAGGGUGAAGACCUAAUAGAUUUCCAAUAGAAAUGCAAAGUGAAUGGGUCAAAAGCGGUACUAUGCCCAAGGUGUAACAUUGUGUUCGACGAGAAAGCCGCUGAAAAAUUUGAAGCUGACAAAAAGAAGGCACAGAAAGAAGAAAGUCCUAUCAUCCCCAGAUUUGUGUUCGACAAACGUGGAGCACCACGCCGAAACAAAGAAUACAGAAGGCAAUUCAAACAACCUCGAACAAAGACUUUCCUUUUGCCAUCGGCUAUACCAUAAGAGAAGUGGGUGGAAUCGGUGAACCAGAAGGGGGGAAAGAGGCUGAUGUGGAGAGUGCUCGAUUUGGAAAAAGAAACAAAAAUUCCAAAGAAGAAGGUAGAACCAAGGGGUUAUGUAGUUUAUCCUAACUACAAGGGAAAAAACCUCAUGACCAUAUUGGCAUGGAGGCGUUACCAGUGAAACAAGAAAGCUGGGAAAGAGGCUCCGACUUCGCAGUUAAAGCCUGUCAAAACCUCUGGAUAAAAGAGGCAACUCCCAAAAGAAGUAUGGACAACAAAAUGGAAGAUCAUGGAUAAUCAGACAAUAACCAUGACUUUUGACCCUGCAAGAAAAGGGAUAGUAUCAUCUCAAAGUAUGAAAUGUUCAUCUCAGGUCGAGAAUGAAAAAAAACCUGAGAACAUGCUUCAGUCGAAUGAGGAGGAGCCUGAAUACUCUCCUCAGUCAGAUGAGGAGGAACCUGAGUAUUCUCCCUAGUCCGAUGAAGAGUUCGAUGAGGAUAUGUACGACGAUACUAAUGAUGACACUUAUGGUGAAGAUUUAAUUUCUAAUUGCGACAUCGUAUCAGUGUUGCUUACAGAAUAUGAUAUGGUGUCAGAAGUCUCUGAAGUAGAGGAGGACUUCAUGCCAGAAGAAACUGUUGGAGGUAAACCACUAUGUUAUUAAGUUAUGAAUAAUGGCAUGGUCGAGGAGCAAAAUGCCAUGUUCGAAAGACCUAGCCCAGGGAUGAUGUACCAUCUGAAACCUUUGUUCAUAAGGGUAAAGGUCAACGGGAUAGCAGUGAACAAAGUGUUCGUAUAGGUGCAGCCGUCAGCUUGAUGCCUUACACUUUGUUCAGGAAGAUGGGGAAAUGCGAUGAUGAUCUCUGAUAACACAAUAUGGUUUUAUCCAACUACGAGGGAAAAUCCAGUAAUAUACUUGGGGUUAUCUAAGUCGAUCUAGCCGUUGGUACGACCAUGCGAUCAACGCUAUUUAUGGUAAUAAACUCCAGAGCAAAUUUUAACCUACUCCUAGGACGGGAAUGAAUAUAUGGAAUAGGAGCAGUACCAUCAAUUGUACAUCAAAGACUCAUAAUCUGGAGAAAGGACGACAUCAUGGAAAACAUCGAAGCUGACCAGAGUUAUUACAGGAUCGAUGAGGCCAAGGGCUCGCAGAAAUCUUUCGACAAACAUUUGGCAAACAUCGCACCUUGUGAUGACGAAUCAGGGUCCUACACUUCAAUCAACACAGGUCGUGUCCUGAACCUCGAUCCCGACUACAAAUUCAUCUGGGAUACUGAAGAAGAAUUGAAGCCAGAAAUGGUAAUUCUACCUACGGGGUGGCCUGCAGUCGAUAAUGUUUGGCUCAAAUUUUGGCUUAGUUGGCUGAGAACAAAAGAAAAUCGACUCUAGAAGCUGAGAGACUACAAAAUUUGGCUAUCGAACACAACGAAUGUGAAGAUGGUCGACAAGGCUAAACAACAACUUCAGAAAGC
This 37104-nucleotide long non-coding RNA is filed under the name Lathyrus oleraceus (garden pea). Its description in RNAcentral is "Pisum sativum (pea) long non-coding RNA (PSAT_LNC004256)". The record is from RNAcentral. Lineage: Eukaryota; Viridiplantae; Streptophyta; Magnoliopsida; Fabales; Fabaceae.